This 206-nucleotide unclassified non-coding RNA is filed under the name uncultured fungus. RNAcentral's name for it is "sequence contains ITS1". Lineage: Eukaryota; Fungi. The record is from RNAcentral.
GUAUUAAAUUAUGAAUUUCACAUUCUGGGGUUUGAAGGGUUUGUGUGUCAAAUGCAAGGCACGGACUCACGUCUCGGCGCCUCACAAGAAAAAGUGCACAGGUGUUGAGUGGAUGAGCGGGGCGAGCACAUGCCCCCGAAGGAGGCCAGCAUCGAAACCCACGACAAAACUCGAUAAUGAUCCUUCCGCAGGUUCACCUACGGAAA